AUGGGGAGGAGAUUGGCGGUGUCGGAGGCGGUCCAGGGGUCUUCGUCCUCGGCCCCGGCGGCGGCCGCCACGGGAGCCCAGGAGUCGCAGACGCAGAUGGCCGUGGUCGUGCCGCCUCGGAAUCUGCCUCCGGCGUCGAGCAAGUCGACGGAGUUCCCUGCGCGGCCGGGGUACGGGACGGCCGGCAAGAGGUGCCGGGUGCGCGCCAACCAUCUCCUCGUGCAGGUCGCCGACAAAGAGAUCUACCACUACGAUGUACGUAAUGUGUCUCUGCUUUCGCUCACGUGGUACUCUUCUUUUGGAAAGGAAAGACCUCUCUCUAAAUUGUUGGGUCAAACCUUGUCUCCGAGGCAUGGCUACAGCGGCAGCAACAGCUUGCAUGCAACGGCAGUAGUAGUUGUUACUCAGCUAUGA
Molecule: ribosomal RNA, 414 nt
Filed under: Triticum aestivum (bread wheat)
Lineage: Eukaryota; Viridiplantae; Streptophyta; Magnoliopsida; Poales; Poaceae
Description: partial small subunit ribosomal RNA
Source: RNAcentral